GUUUGUGUUUGUGUUUGUGUUUGUGUUUGUGUUUGUGUUUGUGUUUGUGUUUGUGUUUGUGUUUGCUCCACUCACCAGAGGAGAAGGACUUAUCAAGGAACUGUGAGUUUGUGAACACUUUGAAAUGUGAUGCCCCUCUGAGAGGGAGGGACUGUUUUGACGACAGUCCGGGAGAGACUUUGUUGUUUGUUCAGAAGACAGAAAGCAGGGUAGCUGCUCGGCCGUGAUACUGUAGGGAGGGACUUUGUGAAGACAUUCAGGCAGAAGCUCAAAGAAGAGCUUAGGCUUUUGAUUUGGUUGUGGUGUAUGCCACAGGGGGGAGGAUUUAGGGAGGGGGCCUGGUCACAAGAAGAUUCUGGGCCUUGGGCGACUGCUGAAGAACCUGCGGCCCAGGUCCUGCUGGAGCCUGGAGCAAUCCCUCUUAGGAAGAGGAUCUUUCGGUAUGGAUGGCUUUCAUGCGAGGACUGAUACCGAUGGAGUUGCACCAACAGGUUAUGGGAGAUUAUGUUAAUACCAAACCAGCAAUUUUGCUUCAAGGCACUGUUUCCACAGACAUGGAUAGAAAACCCUCCCUCGAUGCAAAGCUGUGGUGCACACUAGCGUUCACCAUGGCAGCCAGCCAUUCACCUGUCACUCACGGUGACUCAUGGCAACGUGUUCCGACAGGAAAUCUGCAUCAUCUGUGAGGACUUUUCAUCUAUGCCCAUAUCAGGUGGUUCAGGAUAUUUAAAGAUGGCUCUAACAUUGCUCAGGACUCUGUUAUAGAAUCAAGCCCCGUGUAAGUCUCUUGUUCUCUCUCUCCUUCUCUUGUUCGCUUGGGCCUUGCCAGCUUUGCCCUGACUUUCUCUUGGAUUGCUCUUGGUGCUUUGUACAGUUCUCCCCGGCUUUUAGUUUAUGCCACUGGACUGUUUUUCCCUGUAUGUUUGACCAUGUGCCCAGCCUGCUACAGCACCACGCCCUGGUUCUCUCAGCUCAGUCUUGCCCAGUGCAUGGGUUCACCGUACAAAACCAAACUGAUGCCCGUGCAACUUUUUAAAAUGAGGAAAAUUAUUAGUUAGGUGUAAGCUAUAAUGGUAUAAAUACUCUGUAUGUAAUUGGGAAUUGGAUAUAAAAUUGCAAACACCGUAAAUGUAGUAUAAACUACUUUAAUAUUAUUAUUCCUCUAAGCUAGUGCAAAACAAAGUUGAAUUAAUAUGAUUUUGUUGCCACAGAGCAUGGAAAACAAUUUAAAGAUUAAUAAUGGAUUUUCAUUCUGUGUGUUCUCAGAUUAUUUCUCAAGAGUAAUUUUCUUAAUUGUAGGUAUAUAUCUUUUCAUGAACUGUAUUUGCACACUUUAAUAGAUGUCCCCCAAAGUGGAAAUCUAGAACUGCUUUAUUGUUUAUUGGAUAUUAAAGAGUUCUUUAUUAUACUAGCCUGUACGUUAACAAUACUAUUUCUGUAGAUACAUUUAUGAAACUUUAAUAGAAGAGAAAAGUACUGUAUCUGGUUCCACUUACCCUUGAAACCACUCUUUUUCACUGGAACAUUCAGAAUUCACUGUUUUAAUUGCUUUAUUGUGGAUUGAAAUAACAGAAUAGUAAUAAAUGGUGGACUGACAUACAGUACAAGUGUUGAUGACCCUUUUAAACAGCAGAGGGCAAUGUAACAUAAAGAAUGUAGAGUAUGCAAAUCAUCACUGGACUCUGCACAAGAUUAAGACAUACAUAUCAUAGUCAGAGCUAUAUUUAUGCUCCUGAGACCUAUUUUAAUCAGACCUAUUUUAGGUGAUGCUGAAUAUAAGAUUUCCAUCGUUAAAUAGCUCUUCUGCAGUUGUUAAUAUUAUAAUAUCCCAAUAUAGAAGACUUAAAACCUUACACAUUAAAGAAAUGAAAUUUCACUCAAUUAAGUACUGAAGUUUGCCUUUUUCCUAUUUGUGUUGUGCUAUAUGACAGGUAUGAGUCACUUUGCUUUAGCUCUAUCAUCUGACUUUAAAAGCUUUUUUUAAAGUGUAAAAUUGCCUUUUGUAACUUUUGUAGCAGUUAAAAUUGUUUAACGUGAAAGCAUACAUGUAUGCAUGUUUCUGGGACCUACAUUAUUAAUUGCCAGGUUCUCACCUUUAAACAUCACAAUUGACUUUUCAAAACUGAGGUCCAAGACUAGUGAAAACAUAUGUUUAAAAGAGCAUCCUAUAAAUCAAAUAUAUGAGAUGUAUCUACCCUAGUAUUAUGUAUCAAACAUUGGAAUGUAAUUAUCCUUAACCACUUAGAAAUUGUUUUUCAA
Molecule: long non-coding RNA, 2259 nt
Organism: Lepisosteus oculatus (spotted gar)
Lineage: Eukaryota; Metazoa; Chordata; Actinopteri; Semionotiformes; Lepisosteidae
Source: RefSeq, a predicted model, not a curated record